RNAcentral lists this long non-coding RNA (647 nucleotides) under Ananas comosus (pineapple). Its description in RNAcentral is "long non-coding RNA (ACOM_LNC013211)". Lineage: Eukaryota; Viridiplantae; Streptophyta; Magnoliopsida; Poales; Bromeliaceae. The record is from RNAcentral.
CAAUAUAUAUAUAUAUAGAUCGAGUUGAGCUGUAAUGCUAUCGGUAGCAAACAGUCUUCAUUGUCACUCAUUUGUUUUUUAUGAUAGAGCCUCUAAAUGGACGAUCAAUACGGUUGAACAUGAUCUAUACAACUUGAAGUAUCUGGAAACUAAAUUUCAUGUUUUUGUUGAUAUUGUUCUCUUAUUCAUCAAGUGGACACAAAAAUAAACGGGUGAAAAUAAAUAUCCUCUAAAAAGUGAUGAUAAAAAUUUUGUAAUUCAAUAUAGUUAAGAUUAUUUUUGAUAAAAUAUCUGAAAUAAACAAGGAAUACAUACAUAACUAUUGCGUACAAGCAAACAUUUCUUCAUGAUUUGUGUAAGGUUUGGUGGCUACUACAAGAUAUUUCUUGUCUCGACUUGUAUAUUCUUUAAUUCUAUUUAGCAAACCAUAGUCAAUUGUCCAAAUAUAUAUAUAUAUAUAUAAGCGUAUAAGAAUUUCGACAAUGACAGACGGAAUCCAAAAAGGAAUAAAAUAAUAUUCCCUACGAAUGGUUAUAAUUAAUUUGUUAAAAAUAUCUCAAAUAAAAAUUAACGGUUAUGAUCAAUCUAUUAAAUAUAAAAUAAUAUUCCCUACGAAUGGUUAUAAUUAAUUUGUUAAAAAUAUGUCA